CUACUAUAUAACUCUUGACGUGUUCAUGUGGCUACUAACUCUUGAUGAAGGGCCUUCGCUCGAAACGUUGAGUUUCUGCUUGUUCUUUUCAGGUAAUAAUAUAACCACUCAGCACAGCAAGUCAGUCACAUUGGUACCACCCACACUGGUGCAGACAGUUUUAGUAUGUUCACAGAACAACUGAACAAUCUGCUGAUGGGGAGACAAAAUCUAUUUGUUGACAUUUCUGUUUAAUAUGUCAGCUUCAGAUGAUGACACCGUUCAUUGUAUAAAUGACUAAGAUUGUACUCAGUCAUAACAGCAAAACUAUAUAAUAAGAAAGAAAUUGUGAGCAUUAUCAAAAAAUAUUGAAUACCCUGAACACAUCACACAUGCAGCCAGGUGAAUAUGUGAAUGUAGG
Non-coding RNA from Paramuricea clavata, 400 nucleotides. Lineage: Eukaryota; Metazoa; Cnidaria; Anthozoa; Malacalcyonacea; Plexauridae. The record is from the annotation of a GenBank genome assembly.